RNAcentral lists this small nucleolar RNA (87 nucleotides) under Canis lupus dingo (dingo). Lineage: Eukaryota; Metazoa; Chordata; Mammalia; Carnivora; Canidae. The record is from RNAcentral.
AUUGAUUUUAAAUAAUCUCUAUGUCCAACAUGGGGCCUGAACUCACAACCCUGAGAUCAAGUCACAUGCUCUACCAACUGAGCCAGU